Oryzias melastigma (Indian medaka) is the source of this 705-nucleotide long non-coding RNA. RefSeq lists it as uncharacterized. The transcript is spliced from 3 exons. The record is from RefSeq and is a predicted model, not a curated record. Lineage: Eukaryota; Metazoa; Chordata; Actinopteri; Beloniformes; Adrianichthyidae.
CCGUUAAUUCCUGAACGGUUUGCUCCAUUUGAAAAAUUCAACAGUUUCUGAAAGCUGAGACCUUGUGCUUUCUUGUCAAUAUCGGGUCAUUACGGUAAUCUCCCCUGGAAGCCCGCGAGGAGCUCUUUUGUUUACCAGUGAGACAGAUGGAGCGGUGGACAGAUGCAGAGAGUGGAGUGGCCAAAAAGUUUUCAUAACAGCAAAAAAAAAAAAAUGUGUGAAAGACGACCAUCCAGGGAAAUAUAACCUUCACGGAGGUUCGGAGAAGACUUUGAGACCAAGGGAGCAACAGAAGGAGUCAUUUCGGGUGAGAAAGUUUCCUGUGGGCUGCAGCGGAUGAAGCUGGAGGACCACAGAGGAGAAAACACGAGGAUGCUGGUGAUGAGGCCAGAGACCAAAGCUGCUCACCACAUCAACAACAGUAGGGAGGCUGUAGCGCUGAGCAUCUGAGUCGCGUGACGGAACUGUUGAGCAGCUGGGCGCGCUGUGUCGGACAUUUGAUGUCGAUGCACGCACUUCAUUCAGGAAAAGCACCAGUGAGAUACAGGGUCGGUAGUGCGUGUGAAGCAUGUCUACCUGUGCACGUUUGUAAUCCAUCUGUAGGAGAGGCAGCCGGUAAGAGUGACUCUGUCUGAGCGCUAGAAUGACCACGAUCGCUUACUUCCUGUUUGAUCGGUGUCCUGUGGGAACGAGGCUCACGCUUCG